UUCCUGGUGACCGAUAGCGGACUAGUACCGUGAGGGAAAGGUGAAAAGUACCCCGGGAGGGGAGUGAAAUAGUACCUGAAACCGGACGCUUACAAUCCGUCAAAGCCUGUGAGUCCUUGUGGCUGCGGGUGAUGGCGUGCCUUUUGAAGAAUGAGCCUGCGAGUUAGUGCUCGGUGGCGAGGUUAACCCGUGUGGGGUAGCCGUAGCGAAAGCGAGUCUGAAUAGGGCGAUAGAGUCGCCGGGUCUAGACCCGAAGCGGAGUGAUCUACCCAUGGCCAGGGUGAAGCGUCGGUAAGACGUCGUGGAGGCCCGAACCCACUUCAGUUGAAAAUGGAGGGGAUG
RNAcentral lists this ribosomal RNA (342 nucleotides) under Gordonia hongkongensis. Its description in RNAcentral is "partial 23S ribosomal RNA". It matches the Rfam family "Bacterial large subunit ribosomal RNA", at positions 474 to 806 of the family's 2925-position model. The record is from RNAcentral. Lineage: Bacteria; Bacillati; Actinomycetota; Actinomycetes; Mycobacteriales; Gordoniaceae.